GGGGAAGUAGCUCAACUGGUAGAGCAUUAACAUGUGGCAACAAUGAACAAAUUCUGGUCUGUUUCUUGCUGAAACAAGGUUUGAGGUUCGAAUCCUCGCUUCUCCA
RNAcentral lists this transfer RNA (106 nucleotides) under Daucus carota subsp. sativus. RNAcentral describes it as "tRNA trnX-gtg". It matches the Rfam family "tRNA". From Rfam's summary of the family: Transfer RNA (tRNA) molecules are approximately 80 nucleotides in length. Their secondary structure includes four short double-helical elements and three loops (D, anti-codon, and T loops). Lineage: Eukaryota; Viridiplantae; Streptophyta; Magnoliopsida; Apiales; Apiaceae. The record is from Rfam by way of RNAcentral.